GUGGAUUAGAUACCCUGGUAGUCCACGCCGUAAACGAUGGGUACUAGGUGUGGGGGGUGUCGACUCCCUCCGUGCCGAAGCUAACGCAUUAAGUACCCCGCCUGGGGAGUACGGCCGCAAGGCUAAAACUCAAAGGAAUUGACGGGGGCCCGCACAAGCAGCGGAGCAUGUGGUUUAAUUCGAAGCAACGCGAAGAACCUUACCUGGGCUUGACAUGUGCCUGACCGCCGUGGAAACACGGCUUCCCUUCGGGGCAGGUUCACAGGUGGUGCACGGCUGUCGACAGCU
This 288-nucleotide ribosomal RNA is filed under the name uncultured bacterium. RNAcentral's name for it is "partial 16S ribosomal RNA". It matches the Rfam family "Bacterial small subunit ribosomal RNA", at positions 773 to 1060 of the family's 1533-position model. The record is from RNAcentral.